AGAGUUUGAUCCUGGCUCAGGAUGAACGCUGGCGGUAUGCUUAACACAUGCAAGUCGAACGAAAGUUUUUAACUUUAGUGGCGAACGGGUGCGUAAUACGUGAGAAUCUGCCCUUAGGAGAAGAAUAACUGCUGGAAACGGCUGCUAAAUCUUCAUAUGUCGAGAGAUGAAAUAGCUUAGGCUGCCUAAGGAUGAGCUCACGCCGGAUUAGCUAGUUGGUGAGGUAAUGGCUCACCAAGGCCACGAUCAGUAGCUGGUUUGAGAGAACGAUCAGCCACACUGGGACUGAGACACGGCCCAGACUCCUCCGGGAGGCAGCAGUGAGGAAUUUUCCGCAAUGGGCGAAAGCCUGACGGAGCAAUACCGCGUGAGGGAUGAAGGAUUUUGGUCUGUAAACCUCUUUUCUCAAGAAAGAAGUUCUGACGGUACUUGAGGAAUAAGCAUCGGCUAACUCCGUGCCAGCAGCCGCGGU
RNAcentral lists this ribosomal RNA (472 nucleotides) under uncultured bacterium. RNAcentral describes it as "bacterial SSU rRNA". It matches the Rfam family "Bacterial small subunit ribosomal RNA", at positions 8 to 521 of the family's 1533-position model. The record is from RNAcentral.